GAUGAACGCUGGCGGCGUGCCUAAUACAUGCAAGUCGAACGAAACUUCUUUAUCACCGAGUGCUUGCACUCACCGAUAAAGAGUUGAGUGGCGAACGGGUGAGUAACACGUGGGCAACCUGCCCAAAAGAGGGGGAUAACACUUGGAAACAGGUGCUAAUACCGCAUAACCAUAGUUACCGCAUGGUAACUAUGUAAAAGGUGGCUAUACUACCGCUUUUGGAUGGGCCCGCGGCGCAUUAGCUAGUUGGUAGGGUAAAGGCUUACCAAGGCAAUGAUGCGUAGCCGAAUUGAGAGGUUGAUCGGCCACAUUGGGACUGAGACACGGCCCACACUCCUACGGGAGGCAGCAGUAGGGAAUCUUCCACAAUGGGCGAAAGCCUGAUGGAGCAACGCCGCGUGGGUGAAGAAGGUCUUCGGAUCGUAAAACCCUGUUGUUAGAGAAGAAAGUGCGUGAGAGUAACUGUUCACGUUUCGACGGUAUCUAACCAGAAAGCCACGGCUAACUACGUG
This 512-nucleotide ribosomal RNA is filed under the name uncultured bacterium. RNAcentral describes it as "partial 16S ribosomal RNA". It matches the Rfam family "Bacterial small subunit ribosomal RNA", at positions 28 to 507 of the family's 1533-position model. The record is from RNAcentral.